Molecule: ribosomal RNA, 492 nt
Filed under: uncultured bacterium
Lineage: Bacteria
Description: partial 16S ribosomal RNA
Rfam family: Bacterial small subunit ribosomal RNA
Source: RNAcentral
AGUGAACGCUGGCGGUAGGCCUAACACAUGCAAGUCGAACGGCAGCACAGUAAGAGCUUGCUCUUACGGGUGGCGAGUGGCGGACGGGUGAGGAAUACAUCGGAAUCUACUUUUUCGUGGGGGAUAACGUAGGGAAACUUACGCUAAUACCGCAUACGACCUACGGGUGAAAGCAGGGGAUCUUCGGACCUUGCGCGAUUGAAUGAGCCGAUGUCGGAUUAGCUAGUUGGCGGGGUAAAGGCCCACCAAGGCGACGAUCCGUAGCUGGUCUGAGAGGAUGAUCAGCCACACAGGAACUGAGACACGGUCCAGACCCCUACGGGAGGCAGCAGUGGGGAAUAUUGGACAAUGGGCGCAAGCCUGAUCCAGCCAUACCGCGUGGGUGAAGAAGGCCUUCGGGUUGUAAAGCCCUUUUGUUGGGAAAGAAAAGCAGCAGGUUAAUACCCCGCUGUUCUGACGGUACCCAAAGAAUAAGCACCGGCUAACUUCGUG